UUUGAAUGUGUAAAAAAACAUGGCAUGCUGGCUUCCUCCUGGUGGACAAAUUCCAUAGAUAGAGAACAGACAAUGUUGACAAUGACCCAAAACACACCACCGCCCGGGUUUGCAUUGCAAAUGAAGCCAUAACCUUGGUCAAGACACCAGUACAGUCUCCUGAUUUAACCGCGAUCUAACUUGUUUGGAAUCAAGUGGAAACCUUCAUCCGUAACUCUGCCAAGCCUACAAGAAAAGAUGAACUGGUCAAGGCCAUCAAGAUGUUUUGGCUGGAGAAAUUGAAGAUACUACAAUGCAACAAAUACAUUGAACAUCUCAGCAAGGUUUUACCCAUGGUAGUGGAGCUUGGUGGAAGGAAGUGCAAUUCAAAUGUAGUUUAAAUAACCAUCUGAAUAUUGAAUGUAUUUUUUCUAGUUAUUUUAUUAACAAAAGCAUAUAGAUGUUGAUGACGAAAUACUGUACUGCUGUUUUGAGUUAUAAAUGUAACACUUUAGAGUACUUAAGCAUCGAACACAUAGCAAGUAGGGGAUAUUCACAUCUACAGUAACUGGGCUAUAAAGAGUCUAUUGUCCUGCUAAUUGGGCUACAAGUGCAUGAAAACAUGUUUUCAAAAUGCCAUCAGCUGUCCAUCACUACUGUAAAUAAAAACACAGCAUCU
Oncorhynchus keta (chum salmon) is the source of this 658-nucleotide long non-coding RNA. RefSeq lists it as uncharacterized. The record is from RefSeq and is a predicted model, not a curated record. The transcript has 3 exons. Lineage: Eukaryota; Metazoa; Chordata; Actinopteri; Salmoniformes; Salmonidae.